CUGCACAACAUUUGCAAAGAUAGAAAUAUGCUGUUGCCAGAAGAUCUUCCUCCUCUCCCUGAGGAUUAUCAUGGUGAGGUCAAUGAGGAGGCCCUGGAGCGACCUCAAGAUGGUAUUCGCUACAGGGAUGACUUUGCUGCACUUCACUUUGGGGCACGACACUAAGGUCCCACCAGUCAGGCAAGUGCUGUGGUAGCUGUCGCAAGGUGGCCAACAGAGAUCUACUCCGUCCCAUGGGAAAAUGCUGCCCCUGUGAGGGACACCGCAUUCCAGAGAUGGAUCUACAGCUUUUCUUGCAAACACCUGAGACUUUCCAAGGUCCUCCUCACCAAGUCUGUCAUCAUCAAUGUGGGAGCAGGGGCGUACCUUCUGUGUAUCCAUGGCAGGGGCGGAAGCUGGGAGUUCAACAACCACCAAGCUGCUCUAGCAUAGUCGUGCCAACAUGGAGCUUUGUUCAACCACAUCCGCAUACAAACUAAGGAGGCGGUGGCUGAGUGGUUAGCGUGCCGUCCCUACAUUCGGCACGUUGUCCAUGGUGUGGGUUCGAAUCCGCCGCUAACCUUUUCAGUCACCACCAAGUGGCCUAAGACUACCCACGUGCUGCCCUGAAGACCACCUAUCAACCCGGACUUUAGAGGAAGAUGUACAGCACAAGCGAAAUCAAGAAU
Molecule: long non-coding RNA, 668 nt
Organism: Eriocheir sinensis (Chinese mitten crab)
Lineage: Eukaryota; Metazoa; Arthropoda; Malacostraca; Decapoda; Varunidae
Exons: 4
Source: RefSeq, a predicted model, not a curated record